Molecule: non-coding RNA, 24 nt
Filed under: Arabidopsis thaliana (thale cress)
Lineage: Eukaryota; Viridiplantae; Streptophyta; Magnoliopsida; Brassicales; Brassicaceae
Source: RNAcentral
CGAGAAGGUCGUUGAAGCUACGUC